This is a long non-coding RNA of Ailuropoda melanoleuca (giant panda), 7650 nucleotides long. RefSeq lists it as uncharacterized. The record is from RefSeq and is a predicted model, not a curated record. NCBI's taxonomy places the organism in Eukaryota, Metazoa, Chordata, Mammalia, Carnivora, Ursidae. The transcript is spliced from 4 exons.
GAGGCGGCGCGGCGCUGGGCCUCGCGGGCGCGGCGUGGGAUCGUGGCGAAGUUUCUCGGCGUGUAACUCUAGCGCUGUCUGCUGGGGUUGCGGGGCCGGGGGAGGCUGGGUCCCCGCACCUCCCCCACGCGCUGCACUGUCCCUCGGCCUGCGCCGCGGUGGCCUGGAAGCCGCGGCACCGAACGUCGUGUAACCCUUCGGGGGCUGGUUUCGGAGCCCGCGGGCCUAGGUCGGGCGGGGCGGGUGCCUUUGGCGGACGCCGCUUGGGGGAAACCCAGAGCCUCGGCCGAGCAGAGCGCCGUGGAAAGCGGGCGGCGGGAUCCAGCCCAAGGAAGGCGUCGGGGACGCGCCCGCACCCCGAACUCGGUGACGCGGGGGAGCUGAGGGCUGGGUCUUUGCGGGCGAGAUGAGGGUGUCGGUUCAACUGGCCUACAAAGUCCCAGUCCUCGGCCCCCAGGACCGGCGGCUUCUCCCAAGCUCCAGGCCGGCACGGCAGGAGCUCAGCGCCCAGGCGGGAGUGUACCGGGACCACACUGGAGAGGGGAUGGCAAGGGGCGCUCGGCGCGGGCUCUGUGGGCAGAUUCGAGGGAUCCCUGUGUUUCGCAGGAACAGUGGGAACGUACUCAGAACUUUAAGUCGGCCACUGUGUGCAGUCGGUGUCAGGUCCGCGUUCUCCGGGUGGAGCCGAUUCCCGCCAGGGCGGACGUGGAGCUGGCGGGGAGAGAGCCUCCCGCUCCCCAGCUCCCCACAACCAGGAACCCACCAGGGCUUGCCCUGGUGCGCUUUCCAGAGCGGCUACCUUGGGCUUGGAAGUGGGGAAUCUCACCCGAUUUCUGGAGUUAUCCCUGAGGAGAUGGGACGGGAUGUGGAGGUUUAGCCUCCGUGGAGGGGGAAGCCCCUGCCCCUCCCUUCCACCACCGUUUCUUCAAAGAUGCGUCUUUGUGGGAGUGUCUUUUGUUCCCUGAUCUAUGCAACGUAAUGUUGACCGCCCGAGUCCUCAAGUUUUAUGCUGAGGUUCCCUUCCUAAACCCUCUGCGCAGUCACUUAGUCUACCCUCCCAAAAGAAGAAAGUCCACCAGCCCCGGAAACCUUGAGUUUGUUGGGUGUCGGAACUUUUUGUUUAUUUCUGUUUAUAUUGUGUUUUGGCUAUCUUGGCCGCUGGGGCCUUGGGAAAACAUUUGGGAACACGCGGUGAGGUGACCUGAACUGUGUGAAGGGCAAGUUGACAAAACAGGGCACCUUGGGCCCCCUUCCACCUGGCUUUGGAAAACUAGAGAGUUUUCUAGAAGCAGGAGGAGGGUGAGGGAGAAAGCAGUCCAGCCAGGUUUGCCCACCUUUCUGCAAGUUGUGCAAAGACCCCAUCUGGAAGGUUUUUCCACAGGCUUCUGCGGGCUUAGUAUAGAGUCGGCUUGCAGGAACCCAGGGUAGCCUCUGCCCCCGUUUUGGUGGCCAUGUGGGGACCUGAGCGGAGGGGUUCAGGUUUGUGGAGGGAGCCCCCUGGGCUGUGGGGUCACUGAGGCGAGGUUGGGCCUCUGAGUCCAGGAGUGGGCACAGCCUCCCACUCCAUUUGGCCUGCGUGUUUUCAGGUGUGAGCUUUGUCCUGCAUGCCGUAGUGAGUGUAAACGCAGACGUCACAGUUAGGGAAAAUGUUCGGUCAAGUACCUAAAUGCACAAGUAUCUUAACAGAUUCUCAGUUUUGAGGCAAAACAGUCUAGGAGCAGGUUGGUGGAAGCUUCAACGGGAGGCCUUGCCCUAUUUAAGAAAAACGGUCUCUUUUUUCAGAGUACUGAACCAAGUUGGGAAAACAAAGUUCUCCGUUUGAACCCAUGCCUUUCCCGGCCCUGGGGAUGAGUAUCUGAAACUAAAUGAAGUGGAAAUCUCCAGAAUGUUAUGUGGUCGCAGAACUGGGCUGGAGUGAUGGGAUGUGGAAAAGCAGACCCGAGUUGCCUGAUUUGCACCCACCCUGGAGGGGACAGACACGGUGAUCGGGAUAUAAAUCCUGGGAAUAAAGCAUAAGGAGCCGGCAGUGUCCCCGGCCUCCCUGGCCUGGUUCAGGUGGCUGGCAGUUUUCCCUCCGGCAUAGCUGGGGCUGACCUGGGUUUUAGGGAUUUUUAGGAAAUGCUUUAGUGCUUCAUUGCUUUGGGGGAAGUGAGUGAUUACGUUUUUCCUUCUUGGGACUUUUCCUUUGCAAAGCGUGACUGAAUCAGCUACAUGGUGGGCUGGCCUGGCCUCCAGCAGCUGAUUCGUGCUUUGCUUUAAGCUGUUGUAUUUAGGAAUUGGGCUUUGGUUGAGAGCCUUUUGAUUUUUCUGUCCCUUUUGAAUUCUCAUAGUUUCCUGAAACAGCUGCCACCAUCCCACCCCCCCCCCCAAGUCCAUCCCUGUUAGCCGGGUACCUCUUGGCUCCAUAGGAAAAGUGGCUGACACGGACAGACUUGUGUGCCCUGGAGCGGUCUUCUGGAAGCAGCUAAAUGCAACGUGGAAAGCUGGUGGGAGGGAAGGGUUUCAACCAGACCCCCAGGGAGACCCACGGAAGACUUAAAAUCCAGCUGGACUCCUGGUCCUGCCUCCUGGGAGGAAACUUGUAUUCCCUCAACUCUUAAGUAGAUUGCAGCCUGGUGAAUAAUUAACCUCGCCCUUGUAGCUCCUCUCUCUUUUUUUUUUUUUUAAAGGAAAAUCAAAUCCCAACCUAUGAAAGAUUAAAGAUACAUUUUUGUGCAGCAGGAUGGGAUCGGCAAAGGAAGUGUUGGGCGAAGCCAGCCCUCUCAUCUCUACAGUGUCCCAGCAGCUCUGGAAGUUCUGAUAGUUAGAAAUACCUCUAGGGUUUCCCUGGUGGCCGUUCCUGCAAGUGGCCUCUGAGCUGCUUUCCCAGGUCUCCUUUGGGCGCCUUUGCCCAAAAGCCGAGCUUUCUGAACCCCCGGCGAAGAGCAGGGUUCUGUCCCCUGCUUUGCGCUUUGUGUGGCCCUCACUCCCGCACCAGGUGGAUUUUGCUGCCAGGCUAAUCCGGGGCUCUCUGAGCACGACAGUAACUGGCCUGGGUCACUUCUUCCACACGAAGGAACAGCACUCCUAAUCCGUGACACGUUGGUGAAAAAGUUGUCUCAGAAGCAAGGGGUCAGCAUGGGUUCCAUGAGUGGUUUUUCUGGAAGCAGCCUGGUGUGAGGGCCAUGAAGACAGACCUUGGGUCCAGACAGGCUUGAGUUGGGAGUCCUAACUGCCACUUGCCAGCCGAGUGGCCUUGGACCGGUAACUUCUUUGUGACCAUUUCUUCCCUUGUGAAUGAGAGUUUGAUACCUACGUCAUCAUGUCGUGGUGAGGCUUAUAGGAAAAUUGGAGGUUCAGUGCCUGGCACGCACCAGCGGACCUUUAACUGGUGCUGGUCUCCUCCGCUCUCUUAUUUGGAAUCUGCGUGUGUAUACGUGUCAGUUGAGAAGGGUGUAGAGUCAUUGAGACCUCAGGCUGGUGGGUCUGGUGGGUUGGCAGGUUGUCUCUCUUGCUGUCUCAUGUAUAGCCUUGGGCAAGUUACUUAACCCUCCGGGAACAGCUGCAUUGCAAUCCUCUAAGGCGGGGAUAGGGCCUGGGAACUCCCCCCUCCAGUCUUUCUUGUCUACCAACCACGUGUAGGGGACGAUGGGGCCGGGCUGGGGUUACAGCUGCAAGACGGGCAUGGUCGCUGGCUGCCCACUGGGAUUUGUCCUCCAGCUCUGAGAGCUGCUGAAGGGUAUCCUCUUGCGGCUGAGGCUGAGGGUCAGAUUGGGGGGAGGCCUCCCCAGCAUCUCAUGGCUGGGUGCAGUAGGACUUUCCAGGUUGGGGGCCAGCAGGCGUGAGCUGUGGAACAGGAGGUGGGUGGGGCUCGAUUAGCCAGCACAGCAUCUCAAAGUACCCUGGAUGUGCCGAUGUGGCCACCUCGAACACCUGCCCUGCAGUACCUCCAGCCUGAAAGGCCCAAAGACUCUGGUUCUGACACUGAGCACAUUUCAUGAAGGGGCCCCAGGAAGGGUGAAUUGCCACAGCUGCUUUUGGCUUGCUCGCUCAUUGACCCACGGGGCACGCUAAAUGGACUCUAGUGGGACCAGUGAAGCAGGGUACAGAAUCAAAGUGGGGGUGGUGGGGGUGGAAGGAAAUAAGUUGAUAUUCCAAAAUACACUGCAGGGUAAUCAACAUGGGAAAUAAAAAUCAGAAUUUCGUUGGACUUCCUUAUACUUGAUUUUUUUUUUUAUGGCUCAGUGAUGUUUUGAUUUUGAAUUUCAAACCAGUGAUUGAGAGAGACCAGAAUCUUUACAGUGCUUUAGAGGCUUUCCUGCAGUGGGCUCGGCUCACAGAGGGCCCCAGAGCAGGUGACUUCUCACCCACUGCAUAGCUCCCUCCCUCCUUCCCUUUGGCACGGUCUGGGGAAUUUUGAAAUCUGGGGAAUUUUGAAAUCGCCCUGUAGCCAGACCCCUUGUGUUUGCUGUCCAGGAGAACUGGGGAGGGAGGUGCUAUGUGGAAAGAACCAUCUCCUGAUCUUAAUCUCUGCUCUGCCACUCUGGGCCUGAGAGCCCCAUUCUCUGUCCAGUGGGGGAAUUGGACUGAAUACAGCGUACUCCCCUGGUAGCCUUAACUUGCUUCCACGAUUCUGGGCCAGGAGGCACAGAGGAGGGCACAAGAUGUGUAAUCAUAUUAGAGCUGAACAGCCCCGGGGACCGAAGUUACGCAGUUGGGGUUUUCACCAAAGCCUGUUACCGGGUCUUCAGAGGAAAACCGUGUCCUCAGAAAAAAAGGAAAAUGACAAGGAACGUUCUUGAGGAUUUUUCUCUCUUGGCAUUCAAAGGAUAUUUUCUUGCAUCAAGGUGCAGACUUGGCGGGCUCUGGUCACCGGAGAAGAUAGCUGUUUGCAGGCCCCUGACCGCAUGAUCGUGCUUCUGGCCAGCCUGGCCCCUUGCUCCUUAGGCUCCAGUCACCCCGGCCGGGCCUCCACACCAGCUCUCCCGGAGGCCGUUUUUAAAGGGCUGGGUUUGCUCAGAAGCAUCAGCAUUCUUCGCCCUGGGAAAAGAGAAAGCGUCAAGGUGAAGGUUAACUUGACGUUGGGUGUGGAGUGAUGUUUACCCCUUCUCGGUAAGAGGUGGAUGGGGCUUUCCUGAAAUGAGAGUCUCCUCACCUACAAUGGUCAUGGGGUGCUUGGUCAUUCCUCAUAGCUAAGCCUUUGCUAACUUUAAAUCAGCUGUCCCUCCCUGAGGCCCCUUUGCCCAGCCCUUCUGCCCCCCGCCAGACCUCCUUAUUCCUGAGUGUGUUCCUCAUUCUUUACACCAAAACACUUGCAAAAAAAAAAAAAAUUUUUUUUUUUAAGGAAGGUAAUACAUGAAAAAUAGAGUACUGUUCUCCCCCAGCUGUAAACGAACCGUCUUCCACUGUGGAGCAUUUCGAAAUACAGAAGCAUGGAAAGGCUUAUAAAAAUGCCCAUGCCUCAAGAUAACAUCAGCUAAUGAAAUAGAUCCUUCCAGCACUUUUCCCCUAUGCGCAUACACACCCCAUUAGCGGGAUCGGGGCUUUUAAAAGGCGUGAGGCUUAUAACCCAUUUGAGCAAUGGCCCUCUGCCCUUGGGAGCCAAAGUCUCUCUUCUUCUUGCCGAGUGGGACGGCCGAUCGCCUGCAGCCAGGAAGCUCUGAGCUCUCCGUGGCGGGUACCGGAGCCACACUAGGUCUCUCUUUUAAAUGGAGAUUGAUGAAGUUGGUGAGGUUGGAGCUGCAGGCUUUGUCCUGAUUGAUCUCCAAGUGGGGCUGCUGCACUGCUUCUAGACUACUGUGGCACGCAGAAUCUGGGGAGCCUUACACAAAUGCCAGGGCCUGUCUCUCCUCCCCAGCAAGGCCGGGAGGGCGGCGGGCACAAAGGGACUGGUAUCUGUCUUCCAUUUCUCAGGUGGUUCUGUGAAGCAGCCAGAGAACUAUCCGGCUCCAUGGCCACACGUUAGAUCUGGAAGAUUCUCGCAGCUCUACCUUCAGAGUCAGAUGGAGGAGAUGUGACCACUGGCAGCUGGCAGAAUUUCACGUGCAAUGCUCUCUCUGCUGCGCAGGGUCCUCUUUUGAUCCUCAUUGUAUAGGAGGGGCUGAGGCACAAGUGAUCGGGAGAACCAACCGGAAGACGCAGCGAGGAUGCGGGCAGCGCUGGGCUUUGGAGCCGCAGCUUCUGAUUCCCGAGGCCGGAGGACACUUCAGCAGAGAACCCUGGGCGGUGUCUGGCAUGGAGAAGAUGCCCCCUUCGUGUAGUUGCCCUGCUCAGGAAGUGAGGCUUCAGUCUCAGUGUGUUGGAUGGUGCCUUCCGUCCUCAUCUCUACAAGGAUGACCUUUCCUUCCGCUUCCUCUCUGGCCCUCCUGCCCCGGCCGGACCCUGUAGGGAUGGUGCCUCUGGUUUGAGACGCUGCAUUCCUCUUGGGUCGGGCCCGCCGAGACCCAGAACCCGCAGAGGCCUCCUUCCCCUCCUUGACGUUCGUCCUGCAAGUCCGGACGCCAACUCCAAGGCGUUCCCCCUGGGCCUGGGCCAGAGAAGCCGUGGCAGAGCUCCUCCCCCACCCCGCCAGCCUCCUUGGGUGCAGACAGCCCAGCACAGGCAGGAAGGGCCUUCUGUUUGCCUUGGCUGGUUGGGGAAGAGAUUAGUGCUUGCUUUCUGUUUUGACUCUUGUAUCUAACAGGCAGGCCUGUGACGUCGCAGAAAAGCACGCUUGAGCCUUGAAUGAGUUUGGGGGCCAUUCCUAAUGCCUGGCCCCUAUAGCGGUGACUGGAGGUAGGAAUGGGUGAUACCAUCACCCCCCUGGGAUGUGGAGAAAUGCAAAGGCCAUCUGUCAGCUUUCCCUACCCAGUGUUCACGGCCCUUUCUCCUGAUGCUGCCUCUUCUCCUUCAGAGGAUCACUUCUCCCCCAUCCCGGCUUUAGAGGCAGGCGUGAAUCCCAGGAUGGACAUGGAGACUCCCCCUUGGGGAUUCUGCAGCAACUACGGGGAAAGAAGCAUUUGUUUUUCAGGGGAUUUGCCAGGUUGAUGGAGCUGCUGGUGGCCAUCCUGUUCUCUACUUGAGGUCGAAAGCAACAAAGAGGAAGAAGCUCAGAGAUGGAGAGAAUAUGCUGUCUGGACAUCCGUAAGCCCCUGGAUCCAGCCAUGCCUGAAGCUAACUGCACCACUGGAUUAACCUGAUAUAUGAGCCAAUGCAUUUCUUUUUUUGCUAAACUCGUCCUGAGUUGGGUUUCUGUCAUAGAAUGGGUCUUAUUAAGCAAUAUUUUCCUUCGGUCUCAUUAAAAAAGAAUCAGUUCUGAGGUAUACUUUACAUGCAAUAAAACCUACCCAUUUUAAGUGCCCAAGUCAUACGUUUUAUCAUGUGUGUACCCCUGUCACUACCACCGCCAUCGAGAUAUAGAAUAUUUCAAGCUCCAGGAUAACCACUGACCUGCCUUGGUUGUAGAGACUGAUUUUGCCUUUUCCAGAAUUUCAUACAAAUAUUGUCAUGUAGUGUGUACUCUGUGUGUCUGCGUGUCUUUGAGAUCCAUGCCAUGUGCCUCAGCAGUUCCAUGCCUUACUACUGAGAAGCCUUCCACGUAGGGAGGUACCAGUUUGCUCAGCCAUCUGUCAGAUGGUGGACAUUUAGGCUGUUUCCAGAUUGUGACUAUUACAAAUAAAGCUGUUUUGAACA